GUUCGGCUUAGUCUUUUUGGAAAGAAGUCCGAAGUUAGGGUUGGACACCCUACUCCACCUUUACACAACAGUUUAUAAAAAAAAUGUUCUUCUGCAAUGCCUGCACUAGUUGUAAAGGGAACCAGGGUAACUGAGGUCUAAAUGGAAAACAUCCAGGGUGGUUUUCGGCUUUUUUUUAAGUAGGUCAAAAGUUGGGGUCGGACAUCUUUUACAGAAAAAUUAAUAAAAAAUUGUUCUACGGCAAUCAUUUUGUCUGAUUAAAUGCGAAGAGAGGCUGGAUAGCUGUGAUCUACCUGAAAAUAAAAUUCCGGGGUGUUGUUCUGUUUAUUUUUUUUUUAAGUAGGUCCAAAGUUGGGGUUGGACACCAUUUCCAAUUCUUACAGAAAAGUGUUAAACCAAAAUGUUAAACUGCCAUACUUUCAACAGCACAAGGUGCACAUUACAAAAAGGAUAAUAAAGAAAUAUUCUUCGGCAAUACUUUUGUCCGUAACAGGUGUAAAGGGAAGCUGGGUACUUGAGGUAUACUUGAAAAAUGCAAGGGUGUUUUACGGUUUAUUUUUUUUUUUUUUUUUUGUAAAGUAGGUCCAAAGUUGGGACAGGACAUCGCUCCCAACUCUUACAGAAAAGUUACUAAAAAAUAUUCUAUAGCAUUUUUUUUUGUCCCUACUAGGUUCAAAAUAAAUCUAGGUAGCUAAAAUUCUACUUGAAUAAAAUCAAAGGUGUUUUACGGCUUAUUUUGUCUAAAGUUG
RNAcentral lists this long non-coding RNA (749 nucleotides) under Mytilus galloprovincialis (Mediterranean mussel). The record is from RNAcentral. Lineage: Eukaryota; Metazoa; Mollusca; Bivalvia; Mytilida; Mytilidae.